This 24-nucleotide non-coding RNA is filed under the name Cricetulus griseus (Chinese hamster). The record is from RNAcentral. Lineage: Eukaryota; Metazoa; Chordata; Mammalia; Rodentia; Cricetidae.
CGGACAAGCGCACAGCAAUGACGU